GAUGAACGCUGGCGGCGUGCCUAAUACAUGCAAGUCGAGCGAACAGACGAGGAGCUUGCUCCUCUGACGUUAGCGGCGGACGGGUGAGUAACACGUGGAUAACCUACCUAUAAGGCUGGGAUAACUUCGGGAAACCGGAGCUAAUACCGGAUAAUAUAUUGAACCGCAUGGUUCAAUAGUGAAAUACGGUUUUGCUGUCACUUAUAGAUGGAUCCGCGCCGCAUUAGCUAGUUGGCAAGGUAACGGCUUACCAAGGCAACGAUGCGUAGCCGACCUGAGAGGGUGAUCGGCCACACUGGAACUGAGACACGGUCCAGACUCCUACGGGAGGCAGCAGUAGGGAAUCUUCCGCAAUGGGCGAAAGCCUGACGGAGCAACGCCGCGUGAGUGAUGAAGGUCUUCGGAUCGUAAAACUCUGUUAUUAGGGAAGAACAAAUGUGUAAGUAACUAUGCACGUCUUGACGGUACCUAAUCAGAAAGCCACGGCUAACUACGUG
Molecule: ribosomal RNA, 497 nt
Filed under: uncultured bacterium
Lineage: Bacteria
Description: partial 16S ribosomal RNA
Rfam family: Bacterial small subunit ribosomal RNA
Source: RNAcentral